GGUGGAUGCCCUGGCAGUCAGAGGCGAUGAAGGGCGUGCUAAUCUGCGAUAAGCGCCGGUAAGGUGAUAUGAACCGUUAUAACCGGCGAUACCCGAAUGGGGAAACCCAGUGUGACUCGUCACACUAUCAUUAACUGAAUCCAUAGGUUAAUGAGGCGAACCGGGGGAACUGAAACAUCUAAGUACCCCGAGGAAAAGAAAUCAACCGAGAUUCCCCCAGUAGCGGCGAGCGAACGGGGAGGAGCCCAGAGCCUGAAUCAGCAUGUGUGUUAGUGGAAGCGUCUGGAAAGGCGCGCGAUACAGGGUGACAGCCCCGUACACAAAAGCGCAUGUGCUGUGAGCUCGAUGAGUAGGGCGGGACACGUGGUAUCCUGUCUGAAUAUGGGGGGACCAUCCUCCAAGGCUAAAUACUCCUGACUGACCGAUAGUGAACCAGUACCGUGAGGGAAAGGCGAAAAGAACCCCGGCGAGGGGAGUGAAAAAGAACCUGAAACCGUGU
Molecule: ribosomal RNA, 499 nt
Filed under: Salmonella enterica subsp. enterica serovar Agona
Lineage: Bacteria; Pseudomonadati; Pseudomonadota; Gammaproteobacteria; Enterobacterales; Enterobacteriaceae
Description: partial 23S ribosomal RNA
Rfam family: Bacterial large subunit ribosomal RNA
Source: RNAcentral